AGUCCAUGAUGAGGGCAUAGUCUAAGCAUGUCCUUGUAUCGUUCCCAAGCUUCGAAGAGUGAUUCGUUAUCUUUUUGGGUAAAUCCGUUGAUUUGACCUCUUCAAGGAU
Small nucleolar RNA from Vicia villosa (hairy vetch), 109 nucleotides. NCBI's taxonomy places the organism in Eukaryota, Viridiplantae, Streptophyta, Magnoliopsida, Fabales, Fabaceae. The record is from RefSeq and is a predicted model, not a curated record.